CCUACGGGUGGCAGCAGUGAGGAAUAUUGGUCAAUGGGCGCGAGCCUGAACCAGCCAAGUAGCGUGAAGGAUGACUGCCCUACGGGUUGUAAACCUCUUUUAUAAAGGAAUAAAGUGAGGCACGUGUGCCUCUUUGAAUGUACCCUAUGAAUAAGGAUCGGCUAACUCCGUGCCAGCAGCCGCGGUAAUACGGAGGAUUCGAGCGUUAUCCGGAUUUAUUGGGUUUAAAGGGUGCGUAGGCCGGUUGUUAAGUCAGCUGUGAAAGUUUGCGGCUCAACCGUAAAAUUGCAGUUGAUACUGGCAGUCUUGAGUGCGGUAGAGGUAGGCGGAAUGCGUGGUGUAGCGGUGAAAUGCAUAGAUAUCACGAAGAACUCCGAGUGCGAAGGCAGCAUACUGGAGUGCAACUGACGCUGAUGCACGAAAGUGUGGGUAUCGAACAGGAUUAGAUACCCGGGUAGUC
This 460-nucleotide ribosomal RNA is filed under the name uncultured bacterium. Its description in RNAcentral is "partial 16S ribosomal RNA". It matches the Rfam family "Bacterial small subunit ribosomal RNA", at positions 338 to 795 of the family's 1533-position model. The record is from RNAcentral.